Molecule: ribosomal RNA, 465 nt
Filed under: Vreelandella stevensii
Lineage: Bacteria; Pseudomonadati; Pseudomonadota; Gammaproteobacteria; Oceanospirillales; Halomonadaceae
Description: partial 16S ribosomal RNA
Rfam family: Bacterial small subunit ribosomal RNA
Source: RNAcentral
CCUACGGGGGGCUGCAGUGGGGAAUAUUGGACAAUGGGCGAAAGCCUGAUCCAGCCAUGCCGCGUGUGUGAAGAAGGCCUUCGGGUUGUAAAGCACUUUCAGUGGGGAAGAAAGCCUUGGGGCUAAUACCCUCGAGGAAGGACAUCACCCACAGAAGAAGCACCGGCUAACUCCGUGCCAGCAGCCGCGGUAAUACGGAGGGUGCGAGCGUUAAUCGGAAUUACUGGGCGUAAAGCGCGCGUAGGCGGUCUGAUAAGCCGGUUGUGAAAGCCCCGGGCUCAACCUGGGAACGGCAUCCGGAACUGUCAGGCUAGAGUGCAGGAGAGGAAGGUAGAAUUCCCGGUGUAGCGGUGAAAUGCGUAGAGAUCGGAAGGAAUACCAGUGGCGAAGGCGGCCUUCUGGACUGACACUGACGCUGAGGUGCGAAAGCGUGGGUAGCAAACAGGAUUAGAUACCCCGGUAGUC